UUUUCUUCGGAACUGAAGAUUUGGUGAUUGAGUGGCGGACGGGUGAGUAACGCGUGGGUAACCUGCCCUGUACAGGGGGAUAACAGUCAGAAAUGACUGCUAAUACCGCAUAAGACCACAGCACCGCAUGGUGCAGGGGUAAAAACUCCGGUGGUACAGGAUGGACCCGCGUCUGAUUAGCUGGUUGGUGAGGUAACGGCUCACCAAGGCGACGAUCAGUAGCCGGCUUGAGAGAGUGAACGGCCACAUUGGGACUGAGACACGGCCCAAACUCC
This 275-nucleotide ribosomal RNA is filed under the name uncultured Lachnospiraceae bacterium. RNAcentral describes it as "partial 16S ribosomal RNA". It matches the Rfam family "Bacterial small subunit ribosomal RNA", at positions 70 to 339 of the family's 1533-position model. Lineage: Bacteria; Bacillati; Bacillota; Clostridia; Lachnospirales; Lachnospiraceae. The record is from RNAcentral.